This 253-nucleotide ribosomal RNA is filed under the name uncultured bacterium. RNAcentral describes it as "partial 16S ribosomal RNA". It matches the Rfam family "Bacterial small subunit ribosomal RNA", at positions 524 to 776 of the family's 1533-position model. The record is from RNAcentral.
UACGAAGGGGGCUAGCGUUGUUCGGAAUUACUGGGCGUAAAGCGCACGUAGGCGGACUUGUAAGUCAGGGGUGAAAUCCCGGGGCUCAACCCCGGAACUGCCUUUGAUACUGCAAGUCUCGAGUCCGAUAGAGGUGAGUGGAACUCCUAGUGUAGAGGUGAAAUUCGUAGAUAUUAGGAAGAACACCAGUGGCGAAGGCGGCUCACUGGAUCGGUACUGACGCUGAGGUGCGAAAGCGUGGGGAGCAAACAGG